Molecule: ribosomal RNA, 165 nt
Filed under: uncultured bacterium
Lineage: Bacteria
Description: partial 16S ribosomal RNA
Rfam family: Bacterial small subunit ribosomal RNA
Source: RNAcentral
UGUAAUGGCAGGUCAGCAUACUGCCGUGAAUACGUUCCCGGGCCUUGUACACACCGCCCGUCACACCAUGAGAGUUAGGAAUACCCGAAGCCUGUGAGCUAACUUUAAUAGAGGCAGCAGUCGAAGGUAGAACUAAUGAUUGGGGUGAAGUCGUAACAAGGUACC